GAUGAACGCUGGCGGCGUGCCUAAUACAUGCAAGUCGAACGCACAGCGAAAGGUGCUUGCACCUUUCAAGUGAGUGGCGAACGGGCGAGUAACACGUGGACAACCUGCCUCAAGGCUGGGGAUAACAUUUGGAAACAGAUGCUAAUACCGAAUAAAACUCAGUGCCGCAUGACACAAAGUUAAAAGGCGCUUUGGCGUCACCUAGAGAUGGAUCCGCGGUG
Molecule: ribosomal RNA, 221 nt
Filed under: uncultured bacterium
Lineage: Bacteria
Description: partial 16S ribosomal RNA
Rfam family: Bacterial small subunit ribosomal RNA
Source: RNAcentral